GACGAACGCUGGCGGCGUGCCUAAUACAUGCAAGUCGAACGCAUUUUCUUUCACCGUAGCUUGCUACACCGAAAGAAAAUGAGUGGCGAACGGGUGAGUAACACGUGGGUAACCUGCCCAUCAGCGGGGGAUAACACUUGGAAACAGGUGCUAAUACCGCAUAAUUCCAUUUACUGCAUGGUAGAUGGAUGAAAGGCGCUUUUGCGUCACUGAUGGAUGGACCCGCGGUGCAUUAGCUAGUUGGUGGGGUAACGGCCUACCAAGGCUGCGAUGCAUAGCCGACCUGAGAGGGUGAUCGGCCACACUGGGACUGAGACACGGCCCAGACUCCUACGGGAGGCAGCAGUAGGGAUUCUUCGGCAAUGGACGCAAGUCUGACCGAGCAACGCCGCGUGAGUGAAGAAGGUUUUCGGAUCGUAAAACUCUGUUGUUAGAAAAGAACAAGGAUGAGAGUGGAAAGUUCAUCCCUUGACGGUAUCUAACCAGAAAGCCACGGCUAACUACGUG
This 507-nucleotide ribosomal RNA is filed under the name uncultured bacterium. RNAcentral describes it as "partial 16S ribosomal RNA". It matches the Rfam family "Bacterial small subunit ribosomal RNA", at positions 28 to 507 of the family's 1533-position model. The record is from RNAcentral.